UUUCAAAGAUGAAGAGACGACAGAUUCUACAGGCAACACAUAAGGAGAACCAAGAUUGUUGAGAUGGUCCGCAGUUAAUAUAAAGCGGUGCCCACGGGGGCACUCAUGCUCAAAUCCAAUGUAAACUGUUGCGUGCUUAGAAGAGGUAAUUGGUCUGAUCUUCUGUCAAAUCCAAUGUAAACUGUUGCGUGCCUAGAAGAGGUAAUUGGUCUGAUCUUCUCAACUCUAUUGAUCUUCAUUGAAUCCAAAUGUGUACCUAUCUGGAAAAUUUGAUUACCUUUAGUAACAUCGUUAGAAAUAGUAAUACUAUCAUUCUUAACUUCAUGAAUAUCAGGAAUUAC
This 341-nucleotide long non-coding RNA is filed under the name Nicotiana benthamiana. RNAcentral describes it as "long non-coding RNA (NBEN_LNC003757)". The record is from RNAcentral. Lineage: Eukaryota; Viridiplantae; Streptophyta; Magnoliopsida; Solanales; Solanaceae.